AACUCUGUCCGUUCGGCGUCUGUUUGACGUGCUCGGGCCGGCCCAAAUUGGUAUCGGUCCCGGGGCGUGACAGACAUCGUGGUAUCAGAGCCAAGAGUGAAAGAAUAGGGAUGGACCUAGAGACCCUUAGGAUUGGAAGGUCUUAAGGAUCUAGGAAACGUGAGUGACGUGGGAUCAAAGUUAGCGAAAGCAUAUGAUUGGGUUAAGUUGGGACGUCUCUAAUGUGAUUAGAGGCUAAGUUUAAAUUUCGUUUAUCCUCUACUUCUAGUGUUGUGUCGGGCGGCCGACGACAUGACGCUUGAGGC
Molecule: long non-coding RNA, 305 nt
Filed under: Ananas comosus (pineapple)
Lineage: Eukaryota; Viridiplantae; Streptophyta; Magnoliopsida; Poales; Bromeliaceae
Description: long non-coding RNA (ACOM_LNC044508)
Source: RNAcentral